RNAcentral lists this ribosomal RNA (783 nucleotides) under uncultured fungus. RNAcentral's name for it is "eukaryotic LSU rRNA". It matches the Rfam family "Eukaryotic large subunit ribosomal RNA", at positions 30 to 821 of the family's 3401-position model. The record is from RNAcentral. Lineage: Eukaryota; Fungi.
GAACUUAAGCACAUCAAUAAGCGGAGGAAAAGAAACUAACAAGGAUUCCCCUAGUAACGGCGAGUGAAGCGGGAACAGCUCGAAUUUGAAAUCUCAGCGCAAGCUGCGAAUUGUAGUUUAGAGAAACGUUUUCGGGGCCGGCAGCCAGUACAAGUUCUUUGGAACAAGGCAUCACAGAGGGUGAAAAUCCCGUCUUUGACUGGCUGCUUGGUUCCAUGUGAUACGUUUUCCAAGAGUCGGUUUGUUUGGGAAUGCAGACCAAAAUGGGUGGUAAAUACCAUCUAAAGCUAAAUAUUGGCGAGAGACCGAUAGCGAACAAGUACCGUGAGGGAAAGAUGAAAAGAACUUUGAAAAGAGAGUUAAACAGUGCGUGAAAUUGUCAAAAGGGAAACGUUUAAAACCAGUAUUGCGGGCAGAAACUCAGGUUCCAUUUAUGGUGCUGUAUUUUUCUGUCGGCGAGUCAACAUCAGUUUUGCUUGGAGUAAAACGCCAGGGGAAGGUAGCCUUCGGGUGUUAUAGCCUCUGGUAAUGCUCUGGGCGGGACUGAGGACUGCAGCGUUCUUUGGGUUUACCACACCAACGCUUAGGAUGUUGACGAAAUGGUUUUAAGCGACCCGUCUUGAAACACGGACCAAGGAGUCUAACAUAUAUGCGAGUAUUUGGGUGGCAAACCCUUAUGCGUAAUGAAAGUGAAAAGGUGGGAUCCUUUGCUGGUGCACCAUCGACCGCGCCAGAUUAUUGCUAUCUCGGCGUGAGUAUGAGCAUACAUGUUGGGACCCGAAA